GACGAACGCUGGCGGCGUGCCUAACACAUGCAAGUCGAACGGAAAGGCCCUGCUUUUGCUCGGUGGUCGUGUGGCGAACGGGUGAGUAACACGUGAGUAACCUGUACCUGUCUUUGGGGUAACUUCAGGAAACUGGGGCUAAUACAGGAUAGGAGCUCCUGCUGCAUGGUGGGGGUUGGAAAGUUUCGGCGGUUUGGGAUGGACUCGCAGCUUAUCAGCCUGUUGGUGGGGUAGUGGUUUACCAAGGCUUAGACGGGUAGCCCGCAUGGGAGGUUGAGCGGCGCAAAUGGGCCUGAGAUACGGCCCAGACUCGUACGGUAGGCAGCGGGGGAGAAUAGUGCACAAUAGGCGGAAGCCUGAUACAACAACGCCGCGUGCGGGAUGACCGCCUACGGGUUGUAAACCGAUUUCUCCUGAAACGAAGCGUUAGUGACGGUAAUGGGUAAAGAAGCACCGGCUAACUACGUG
RNAcentral lists this ribosomal RNA (468 nucleotides) under uncultured bacterium. RNAcentral's name for it is "partial 16S ribosomal RNA". It matches the Rfam family "Bacterial small subunit ribosomal RNA", at positions 28 to 507 of the family's 1533-position model. The record is from RNAcentral.